GUCUCUGUGGCGCAUCAGUUAGCGUGUUAAGCUGUUAACUGAAAGGUUGGUGGUUCAAGCCCACCCAGGGACG
Molecule: transfer RNA, 73 nt
Filed under: Danio rerio (zebrafish)
Lineage: Eukaryota; Metazoa; Chordata; Actinopteri; Cypriniformes; Danionidae
Rfam family: tRNA
About the family: Transfer RNA (tRNA) molecules are approximately 80 nucleotides in length. Their secondary structure includes four short double-helical elements and three loops (D, anti-codon, and T loops).
Source: Rfam by way of RNAcentral